UAGGGAAUCUUCGGCAAUGGACGAAAGUCUGACCGAGCAACGCCGCGUGAGUGAAGAAGGUUUUCGGAUCGUAAAACUCUGUUGUUAGAGAAGAACAAGGACGUUAGUAACUGAACGUCCCCUGACGGUAUCUAACCAGAAAGCCACGGCUAACUACGUGCCAGCAGCCGCGGUAAUACGUAGGUGGCAAGCGUUGUCCGGAUUUAUUGGGCGUAAAGCGAGCGCAGGCGGUUUCUUAAGUCUGAUGUGAAAGCCCCCGGCUAAACCGGGGAGGGUCAUUGGAAACUGGGCGACUUGAGUGCAGAAGAGGAGAGUGGAAUUCCAUGUGUAGCGGUGAAAUGCGUAGAUCUAUGGAGGAACACCAGUGGCGAAGGCGGCUCUCUGGUCUGUAACUCACGCUGAGGCUCGAAAGCGUGGGGAGCAAACAGG
Molecule: ribosomal RNA, 429 nt
Filed under: Gemmatimonadota bacterium
Lineage: Bacteria; Pseudomonadati; Gemmatimonadota
Description: Gemmatimonadetes bacterium partial 16S ribosomal RNA
Rfam family: Bacterial small subunit ribosomal RNA
Source: RNAcentral